Molecule: ribosomal RNA, 254 nt
Filed under: uncultured bacterium
Lineage: Bacteria
Description: partial 16S ribosomal RNA
Rfam family: Bacterial small subunit ribosomal RNA
Source: RNAcentral
UACGUAGGGGGCAAGCGUUGUCCGGAAUCAUUGGGCGUAAAGAGCGCGUAGGCGGCCCUGUAAGUCCGCUGUGAAAGUCAAGGGCUCAACCCUUGGAUGCCGGUGGAUACUGCAGGGCUAGAGUUCGGAAGAGGCGAGUGGAAUUCCUGGUGUAGCGGUGAAAUGCGCAGAUAUCAGGAGGAACACCGAUGGCGAAGGCAGCUCGCUAGGACGAGUACUGACGCUGAGGCGCGAAAGCGUGGGGAGCAAACAGG